ACGCACGUGUGAAACUUGAAGGAAUUGACGGAAGGGCACCACAAGAACGCGUGGAGCAUGUGGCUUAAUUUGACCCAACGCGGGAAAUCUUACCGGGUCCGGACACACUGAGGAUUGACAGGCAACCUUGCGGUUUGCUGAGCUUCCAUUGCCUUCUACCAGGGGCUUUGGCGGCCGAGCUGCCGCAUCUAAAUAUGCUCCUUUCAUGAUUAUGUGAUAGGUGGUGCAUGGCCGUUCUUAGUUCGUGGAGUGAUCUGUCUGCUUAAUUGCGUUUCGCACUGGACUUGAUAAUCAAGUGUGCUACUCUUCUUGUGCCUCGAACACGAUCUGCGCGUUAUAACGUCGGCGUGCGUACCCCGGCCGCUUCUCGCCGCUUGGCUCGUGCCUUCGCUUCUCCUCCGGGAGUCGCGUCGNNCUUCUCGCCUNNNNNNNNCGNGGNCUG
Molecule: ribosomal RNA, 442 nt
Filed under: Foraminifera environmental sample
Lineage: Eukaryota; Foraminifera
Description: partial small subunit ribosomal RNA
Rfam family: Eukaryotic small subunit ribosomal RNA
Source: RNAcentral